Myiozetetes cayanensis is the source of this 409-nucleotide long non-coding RNA. RefSeq lists it as uncharacterized. The record is from RefSeq and is a predicted model, not a curated record. The transcript has 3 exons. Lineage: Eukaryota; Metazoa; Chordata; Aves; Passeriformes; Tyrannidae.
GCUAAAGAAAAUGCUUUGUUUGAUGGAGUACUGCAGUACUCUUGAAAUGUCAUCACAGAACAUAAAUGUCUGGACACCUAAUCCCAACCUCUCCUAAUUGGUUGGAAGGUAUUUGGAAGAAGUUUAUAAAGCUGAGUUUUCUUACACAGGCAUUCACAAAUAAGGAAGAAAAAAGGCUACUUGCUGAGAGAAGAGAAUGCAAAGCUAAUGAAUCCACUGGAGAAAGGCUCUGCUCUUCUGUGUCCAUCCCAUGCUAAGCAGAAUCUCAGUCAUGGAAUAUCAAAAGAGAUUUACCCUGUAUGGUAUGGAGGAGUGACAUGGAUGUCCCACUUACCCACAAUCUUGUUGCCUUGGGCAGUGAGUUGCAGUGCAGUAGGUAUUCUGUUCUAGAACUCCGCACAAUAAUUUC